ACGGAAGGCAGCAGUGGGGAAUAUUGCACAAUGGGGGAAACCCUGAUGCAGCGACGCCGCGUGAGCGAAGAAGUAUUUCGGUAUGUAAAGCUCUAUCAGCAGGGAAGAUAAUGACGGUACCUGACUAAGAAGCCCGGCUAACUACGUGCCAGCAGCCGCGGUAAUACGUAGGGGGCAAGCGUUAUCCGGAUUUACUGGGUGUAAAGGGAGCGCAGGCGGUUUUUUAAGCCUGAUGUGAAAGCCCGCGGCUCAACUGCGGGACUGCAUUGGAAACUGGAGAACUAGAGUGUCGGAGGGGCAAGUGGAAUUCCUAGUGUAGCGGUGAAAUGCGUAGAUAUUAGGAGGAACACCAGUGGUGAAGGCGGCUUGCUGGACGAUAACUGACGCUGAGGCUCGAAAGCGUGGGGAGCAAACAGGAUUAGAUACCCUGGUA
Molecule: ribosomal RNA, 433 nt
Filed under: uncultured Roseburia sp.
Lineage: Bacteria; Bacillati; Bacillota; Clostridia; Lachnospirales; Lachnospiraceae
Description: partial 16S ribosomal RNA
Rfam family: Bacterial small subunit ribosomal RNA
Source: RNAcentral